CCCUUAGAUGUUCUGGGCUGCACGCGCGCUACACUGAAGCUAUCAACACGUUUUCCCUCCCUGAGAAGGGCGGGUAACCUUUUGAAUCAGCUUCGUGGUAGGGAUCGGGGCUUGCAAUUGUUCCCCGUGAACCAGGAAUUCCUAGUAGACGCGAGUCAUAAGCUCGCAUCGAUUAAGUCCCUGCCCUUUGUACACACCGCCCGUCGCUACUACCGAUUGAACGUUUUAGUGAGGCAUUUGGACCGACGCAUCUCAGUUUAACCGCUGGUUUGUGUUGGAAAGACUUCCAAACUUGAGCGUUUAGAGGAAGUAAAAGUCGGAACA
RNAcentral lists this ribosomal RNA (324 nucleotides) under uncultured eukaryote. RNAcentral's name for it is "partial 18S ribosomal RNA". It matches the Rfam family "Eukaryotic small subunit ribosomal RNA", at positions 1470 to 1796 of the family's 1831-position model. The record is from RNAcentral.